UGUAACAUCAGAGAGAAUAUUUGAAUAUUUAAAAACUAAUGUAAAACAGCAUAUCUCUACAAAUAUAAUGUGUGUCAGUUCAGGUAUGUGUUUAUUUCUGGCCGGGCCUUUUUUAAAACUAAAUGUGUCAUUUUUUCUGACUGGUUGCAAAGAAACUCAGACAAAACAGACCAAAAAUGUGUCAGAUUUUAUUUACAAACCCAGCCAGCCUGGAGGUUUGAAUGAAACAGUUACAUAUCUGAUUAAAAGUAACUGUGUUAUGAAGGGAUGAAGCUGAACUCCAGCUUUAAUGUUUAAGUUGAAGCAGCUCAGCCUCAGACACCUUCUGCUGGUGCAAGCCUCAUCAUUUGUCUGAUUAGUUACAGCUGUGAGCCUGAUAAGUUUGUAAAAAUUCAGAGGAAAACUGCAGAAGAAGAAAGUCACUGAACAAACACAGCCUUCUGAAUGAAACCAUGUUAUUAAAACAGCAGAUUUAGUUUUCCACCCAAUAAACCGCUGCAUGAAUCUGUUGGAGGACUGAGAUGAGAGACGUCUUCCUUUCAGUGAACCAGCAGCGUUCCGGAUGAUGACCUCGGCUUCCUCGACUCUACCCUGGGAAAGCAACCAGCGAGGAGACUCUGGGAUGAACCUGACUCGUUUUGCAACGUUGUGGACAGAAGGAGAGAGAAAAUGAAGACUUCAGUAAUGAUGCAAAGCUGUUAUGGUAGGUGAUCUGAUUGAGUUUUGCACAGUCAUAAAUGCACACUCUUAUUAAAAGCAUUUUUAUCAAAACAGAAUCAAAACAAGGAAAUUAGAAGUUUGUGAAUCAGGAAGAAAUAUUACAAAAGGAAUCGAACCUGAUAAAGUUUUGUUUCACAUUUUCUGUACCUAUACUAAUGUAAAUCCAUGACAUUAUUUCUGCAUUUUUUUUCUGUGCAUACGAGUCAUAUAAGUUAUCAGAAAAGUCAUUUGAAUUUAUAAUAUGAAGCAUCAUCUACAAACACUAGCAGAAAACAACCAGUCAUGUUUCUGUUCCGAGCAGCUAUUUUAACCUUUGAACAAUAGAAAAUACAUUUAAUAUUUUUCAAAUUGCUACACCUUUGUAUUUGCAUUUGUUGAGGUGACUGAGCUAAUCUGUUAGGUUUUUAUGAAUGAUGAAGUUCCACAUCACAGUAAAAGUAUUUGAUGUUUAUGCUGCACUUUUGCUCAUCACUGAUGGUUUAAACAUGUUUAAUUUAAUCAAUAAAUGAAAUGAAAAUCA
This is a long non-coding RNA of Xiphophorus couchianus (Monterrey platyfish), 1240 nucleotides long. RefSeq lists it as uncharacterized. The transcript has 2 exons. NCBI's taxonomy places the organism in Eukaryota, Metazoa, Chordata, Actinopteri, Cyprinodontiformes, Poeciliidae. The record is from RefSeq and is a predicted model, not a curated record.